GUGAGUAACACGUGGAUAACCUACCUAUAAGACUGGGAUAACUUCGGGAAACCGGAGCUAAUACCAGAUAACAUGUUGAACCGCAUGGUUCAACAGUGAAAGACGGUCUUGCUGUCACUUAUAGAUGGAUCCGCGCCGCAUUAGCUAGUUGGUAAGGUAACGGCUUACCAAGGCAACGAUGCGUAGCCGACCUGAGAGGGUGAUCGGCCACACUGGAACUGAGACACGGUCCAG
This 234-nucleotide ribosomal RNA is filed under the name uncultured Staphylococcus sp. Its description in RNAcentral is "partial 16S ribosomal RNA". It matches the Rfam family "Bacterial small subunit ribosomal RNA", at positions 106 to 334 of the family's 1533-position model. The record is from RNAcentral. Lineage: Bacteria; Bacillati; Bacillota; Bacilli; Caryophanales; Staphylococcaceae.